RNAcentral lists this long non-coding RNA (1470 nucleotides) under Cricetulus griseus (Chinese hamster). RNAcentral's name for it is "lncRNA (ENSCGRG00015040026.1)". Lineage: Eukaryota; Metazoa; Chordata; Mammalia; Rodentia; Cricetidae. The record is from RNAcentral.
GGGAAAACAACUUGCAGGAGUUGGUUUUCUACUUACACCAUGUGAAUCUUGGGGAUUGAACUCAGGUCUUCAGGUUUGCUGGGAAACAUGUUUACUACCUGAGUCAUCUCUUCUACCCUAUAAUAGGUUUUGACAGAGUUUAUGCACUGGAUGCCAUGCUAAUGUAGGACUGACUUCCAAAGAUAGAGGCCAGGAUCUGUGUAGUUUGCUUUGACCCUUCGAACUGGAUCAUCAUAGUUACCAAGGACAUAGUAAAUCUGAUGUUGAGGUGGACCCUGAAUGUCACAGGAGAGCAGAAGCAUCAGAAGCCGAGAAAAUGAAUCUCGUUUCAAGGCCUUGGAGAAGGCAAUGGAUUUUAUUACCCUGAAGAAGAGAUUUCACCAUUGUGUGAUCCCAUAAGGGCCAUCUGCUUCUCCCAAACACAGUUGGUCUGGAAGAGGUAGCUAGGAACCAGAUGAGCUUCUGCCUCUGCAGGUGAAUCAGAAGAGAAGAUAUAAUUCUUGUCGGCAAAGAAGAAACAAAUGGAAGUGCAGCAUACCACUACUACCAAGACCCUCGAGCAUAAGGCCUUGGGAGUCAGGAAAGUCAACCAAGAUGCAAAACAAGAGGGCACACUCUUGCUACAGCAAACAUGUGGCAGUCAGUUUGCUGGAAUUGGUUCUCUCCUAGUAUCUCGGGUUUGAACUUAGAUCAUCAGCCUUGGAGGCAAACAUCUUUACCAACUGAGCUAUUUCUCUGUCCUCCCCAAAGCGACUAUCAUUCUUUCUAAGUUGCUGUCCAGUGCUUCAAUCCUGUGGCUCACCUGUUGUUGAAACUUGAGAAGAAACAGCACUGUAUUUCUAGCCAUUAAUAGUAGCACGGCUCAUAUAAUAAGGUAAGAGUUUCUGUUUGAACUUGUCCUUUUGUCUUGAGUGAGUUAUUAACUACAGGGCCUUAUUCAGACACUGCCUGCAUGUAAUUCUACUUUAACUUUUGGUCUCUCCAUGAGAACAUAAGAUGCCUUGUGGUCUUUGCUUUGUAAAGGGAAACGUGUUCAUGUAAAUGCACUAGAUAUGGACAUCACUAUCUCUAUGGGUUGUAGUCACCUAUUUGGCCACAAUUAAACCAAGGAAUGGUUUGUGGUUUGUAUGGAUGUCAUGUAACUGAUGUCACGGACAUUUGAAGCCCAUCAUGGCUGAUGCCAAGCCUUGGGAAGAGACUGAUCAAGGUAGAAUCCACACCAGGAGCCCUCCAUUUCUUCUCAUGCCCCGUUGUCACAGGUGUAUUAUAUCACCAGGCUGGCUUAUCUGACAUCCAUUCCCCAAGUCUGUUUGUCUUUACUUCCAUCUUUGAUCAUGUCCCCUUCCUUUCUGUUAUCUAGCUGGAACAAUAGCACCAAUGUCUAAGAGCAGUAAACACAUCAGGAGCCACCAAACAGCAGAAAAGACUGGUGAGGCCUUUCUCAGUACCAUUUCCAUCAUUCAGAUGAGA